AUACGAAGGGUGCAAGCGUUAAUCGGAAUUACUGGGCGUAAAGCGCGCGUAGGCGGUUUGUUAAGUCAGAUGUGAAAGCCCUGGGCUCAACCUGGGAACUGCAUUUGAAACUGGCAGGCUAGAGUAUGAUAGAGGGAAGGGGAAUUCCACGUGUAGCGGUGAAAUGCGUAGAUAUGUGGAGGAACAUCAGUGGCGAAGGCGCCUUCCUGGAUCAAUACUGACGCUGAGGUGCGAAAGCGUGGGGAGCAAACAGGAUUAGAUACCCCAGUAGUCC
This 274-nucleotide ribosomal RNA is filed under the name uncultured bacterium. RNAcentral describes it as "partial 16S ribosomal RNA". It matches the Rfam family "Bacterial small subunit ribosomal RNA", at positions 523 to 796 of the family's 1533-position model. The record is from RNAcentral.